Long non-coding RNA from Ceratina calcarata, 1138 nucleotides. RefSeq lists it as uncharacterized. The record is from RefSeq and is a predicted model, not a curated record. Lineage: Eukaryota; Metazoa; Arthropoda; Insecta; Hymenoptera; Apidae. The transcript has 2 exons.
GUUUCCCUCUCCGACCAGUAGGUGAUGCUGUACCUGGAGCUCGAUCCUCUGGAAGGCCGUCGACCCCGAUGUAGACGCGCACAACCAACGAGCGAACGCGUGCGGAGAGGCCAUGCACCAGCGAAAAAAAUUGCUCUCUCUUUCUUUCUGUACUCCUGCCACGAUGCACGAACUUUCUGUGCACGUGAGUAGUACAUAGUCGUAGAUCCACUCGUUUCUAACGACCGACGUCGCAUCUUGCACCUGCGAUGCUUCGUCGGGAGUCAUGGAAUGUUUCUCUACACUAACGCAAAUCUAUGAUAACAACUUUGUAAAAUCGUGUAUUACUUUGUGAGCAUUAUUCAUCCCAAGUAAUUCAGUCGUAGAUAGUAUUAAGUGGACACACGUUAAAAUGAAAUAACUUUUUUAAUUGGACCGAGACACUUAUUGCCCACGACUGUAUGUGGGAUUAUUAUCAUUCUACGAACGUCGGGGCUCGAAGGUUAAUGAUCGUCUGAGAUUGAUCACAUGACAGGACCAAUCAUUAACGAUGACGCAAAUGCAUACUUUUGAUUAAACCAGACCUCGAAUUAGUCGCGGUAGUGUGGUUUAUUAACGAGGCGCCAAGUUUGUCGAUCUUGUUUAGAAUAUUCGUCUGGUACGACACACGGCUGAUACAUCGAUUUCGAUUUGCCAGUACGCCACAAUUAAUAUUUUUUAACAAAAAUUGUUAUUAUGUUGCGGAUUAAACGGUUGCUAAUUAUAAACUUUUUCUAUAGUAUUUAAAGUGCAGUUAAAAUAAAUGAAAUCUCUAAUGGCUAAUAUGCUAGAACGAAAAGUGAAAUUUAAAUAAAACAGGAAUUAACCAACCUCGCAAACUUAUUACACAAUGAUUUGAAAAACAUUCGCUGUAUUUAUUGUUUGUUUAGUACGUUCGUCAGAGAUAUUCUUUCUUUUAUCUGCGUUGUGGCAUAAGCAUGGAAAAAUUUCUUUUUAAAAGAAAGGAAUACUUUCGUGCGCUUUAUGUGCUACAGUGAAAAUGUUAACUAUUGAAGUAAUUACGCGAAAUUUUUUUUAUGAAGUAUGUACUGGUAACAAUUGAUUCGCAGAGAUUUUGCGCAAUUGGUCACAGGUAGUAAAUUGAAUGUUUUUAUUUGUA